This is a long non-coding RNA of Bombus pyrosoma, 1001 nucleotides long. RefSeq lists it as uncharacterized. The record is from RefSeq and is a predicted model, not a curated record. The transcript has 3 exons. NCBI's taxonomy places the organism in Eukaryota, Metazoa, Arthropoda, Insecta, Hymenoptera, Apidae.
UAAGAAUACCGUUUUCGUGUUGUCUUAUAGACGUGAGAUAGCCGGGCCAAAGUUCCAUUCUCUGACCCUGUACGUCUAUCUAUUUGAAUUAUAAUUGUGUUAAACAAUUCAUAGCAUGCGAUUGAACUUUACUGCACAUAUUAUACGUCAUUCUACUCGUUUUGACAUGCUGGAUGUGAAUAUCGCAACCAUUUCUAAUGGAAAUAUAUGUAUGGGAAUGAAUCUUCUGCAUGUGCCAUCAACACUUCUUGAAGCAUCUUUGUCUCUUGUUUGUAGAAUAGCAUCUUGAGUCUAAUAACAAUUCUAAGAAUCACUGAGAAUUUUCUUUGAAAGCAUUAGCAUCAUCUUUCUUUCAGCACGUAUGCUUGACUUGAUUUUAAAGAUCAGUAAAGUAGAGAACUGGAAAACUGUAUUGUUAUGGAUUAUACAAAUGCCCAGUCAACGAUACUUACUGCUUAGAAAUAACUCAUAAAAAUUAAUAUUUCUUCAUAAAAAGUUGUUGUGGAAACCAAGAAGGAAACUAUAUCAUUUAUUGAAGUAUAUGUUCUCAAAGAACUAAAAACCAAUUGUAAGGUUGAGUUCCUGUCUUAUCUCCUUACGUUUAAAAUUUAAUAUGUGAAUUAUAUAAACAUAUCUCGACAUAAACAUGUAAUGCAGUUAAUUCCAUACCCAAAACUAAUUCACAUCAAGGUAGAAAGUAUCAAAAAAUUUUAUGAAUAUUUCAAAAAUAUGUAAUUUCUACUAAAAACAAAGUAGCAUGACAUAAAACAUGUGCCAAAAGCAUAGGGGAACAAUGGGUAAUCUCUUACUCAGCAUGCUGAGAUUAACAAAUUUAUAGUCUCAUGUUUCAUAAAUUACCACUGGUGGAUCUUGUGGUACUGAAACUGGUCUUUCCAUAGGUGUCCCUGGUGGAAACUUAAUGUAGCUCGGAGGAUCAGACAGCGUAUAAGGCGGAACAUUACUUGGAGGUAGAGGUUGAUAUGAAGAUGGAGGAGGUUGAG